GGCUCAUUUUCAAGACACAACGAAACACAAGUGUCACUUACACAUACAAACAUAAAAAGUGAAACAAAUUAUUACAAAUUAAUGUAUUCAUUUAAAUUUUUCUGAAUGUUAUUCACACCUUUUUCUAUAACUGGAUCAACAUAUGUUCUUUCAAUUACAUGUAUGACGCAAAUUUAUUUUGGAUCACACCAUUUUAAACCGAUAUCCUCUGAUUUGUCUGUCAGGUAUAUUUUCUAUAUAUUUAAACCAUUCCCAUGAAGCGCCAUUCCUUAUCAAUUAUACAUCAGUACCCUGCUUUCGGUUUUUAUUUGUCGUAAUACGUAUUUAGACUUGUCAUGUGACCACAAUUAAUUUAGAUUGUAGAGCUUAUAACUACAUUGUUGUACAUUUAUCAUUCUAUAAAAUUGUGAUCAAUAAAAUGUAAAUGGAGUCUGAAAGUUUAACGUGAUAAUAAUAUAU
This 459-nucleotide long non-coding RNA is filed under the name Mytilus galloprovincialis (Mediterranean mussel). The record is from RNAcentral. Lineage: Eukaryota; Metazoa; Mollusca; Bivalvia; Mytilida; Mytilidae.